UGCCAGACUCCUACGGGAGGCAGCAGUGGGGAAUAUUGCACAAUGGGGGAAACCCUGAUGCAGCGACGCCGCGUGAGUGAAGAAGUAUUUCGGUAUGUAAAGCUCUAUCAGCAGGAACGAGACAAGACGGUACCUGACUAAGAAGCCCCGGCUAACUACGUGCCAGCAGCCGCGGUAAUACGUAGGGGGCAAGCGUUAUCCGGAAUCACUGGGUGUAAAGGGAGCGUAGACGGCUGAGCAAGCCUGAAGUGAAAGGCGGGGGCCCAACCCCCGGACUGCUCUGGAAACUGUCCGGCUGGAGUGCAGGAGAGGUAAGUGGAAUUCCUAGUGUAGCGGUGAAAUGCGUAGAUAUUAGGAGGAACACCAGUGGCGAAGGCGGCGUACUGGACUGUAACUGACGUUGAGGCUCGAAAGCGUGGGGAGCAAACAGGAUUAGAUACCCGAGUAAAC
Molecule: ribosomal RNA, 450 nt
Filed under: uncultured bacterium
Lineage: Bacteria
Description: bacterial SSU rRNA
Rfam family: Bacterial small subunit ribosomal RNA
Source: RNAcentral